Molecule: ribosomal RNA, 498 nt
Filed under: uncultured bacterium
Lineage: Bacteria
Description: partial 16S ribosomal RNA
Rfam family: Bacterial small subunit ribosomal RNA
Source: RNAcentral
UGGGGAAUAUUGGACAAUGGGGGCAACCCUGAUCCAGCAAUGCCGCGUGUGUGAAGAAGGUCUUCGGAUUGUAAAGCACUUUCGACGGGGACGAUGAUGACGGUACCCGUAGAAGAAGCCCCGGCUAACUUCGUGCCAGCAGCCGCGGUAAUACGAAGGGGGCUAGCGUUGCUCGGAAUGACUGGGCGUAAAGGGCGUGUAGGCGGUUUACACAGUCAGAUGUGAAAUCCCCGGGCUUAACCUGGGAGCUGCAUUUGAUACGUGUAGACUAGAGUGUGAGAGAGGGUUGUGGAAUUCCCAGUGUAGAGGUGAAAUUCGUAGAUAUUGGGAAGAACACCGGUGGCGAAGGCGGCAACCUGGCUCAUGACUGACGCUGAGGCGCGAAAGCGUGGGGAGCAAACAGGAUUAGAUACCCUGGUAGUCCACGCUGUAAACGAUGUGUGCUAGAUGUUGGGUAACUUUGUUAUUCAGUGUCGCAGUUAACGCGUUAAAGCACAC